CAGAAUGUCGAGCCAAGGAGUUGUCGGAUCCGGGACGAAUGUAUUUGAUUGAAGGAGGGGGUUCAUCUCGAACAUAUUUGGCACAACGAUUCCCAAAUAAUGACCCAACUGGUUGAUUCCAUGGAUUUUGACAAGGUCACCUGAUGCAACUGCUGCUUCAGUAGUAGUUGUGUUAUUCCACAGUAGGAACAAAACAACCAAACAGAGAGUGGAAUUCUUCAUAUCUGCUUUGUUUCCUGAACAUAAUACAUAUGUACUUUAAUUUGGUUUCUUUGUGAAUGGAUUCAGGAUGAGGAUAGUUUAAGAAAUUAUGUGAUGCAGUGAAAGAGAGCAUGCAAUAGGUUACGUGGAGGAUAAGGAGAGAAUAGCUGUCCACAAGCAGCAGAAGAAUGGUCAGAAUUGGGUAUUUUUGGGGGUUUGGUUUGGUUUGUGAUCUUAAGGCUUUAGCCUGUCG
Molecule: long non-coding RNA, 454 nt
Filed under: Linum usitatissimum (flax)
Lineage: Eukaryota; Viridiplantae; Streptophyta; Magnoliopsida; Malpighiales; Linaceae
Description: long non-coding RNA (LUSI_LNC002249)
Source: RNAcentral